This is a long non-coding RNA of Nannospalax galili (Upper Galilee mountains blind mole rat), 965 nucleotides long. RefSeq lists it as uncharacterized. The record is from RefSeq and is a predicted model, not a curated record. Lineage: Eukaryota; Metazoa; Chordata; Mammalia; Rodentia; Spalacidae. The transcript has 3 exons.
GUAAAUAUUGCAUGAAAAAGCCUUCUGAGGGAUGUUCUAUGACUCCUGCCCUGGACACCAACAUGGAGUUUUCUGGUAGUGAUUUGUUUGAAAUGUGUGCUAGACACCUUCUUAUCACUAUGACAAAAUACCUGAGUGACCUCGGCCUUGGAAAAGGAAAAGAACUGGAAACUGGGGGAGUGAGAAAAGAGACCCCCAAAUCUCCAGUCUGGGGACUGCAAGAGGAACCUCACCUCUGCUUCACCAGAGCGCACAGUGAGAGCAGGGAAGUGAUGCUCUGUAGAACACCUACGCUCAGGGCACUGUUCUUCCCAGCUUGACAACUCUAAGAACUGAAGUCUUCAGCCAACGAAGAAGUCAUGUAAAGGAGCCUCUUUGAAAAUGGAUCCUCCACCCUCGGGCCAGCCUUCGGCACACUGUUGCCUAGCCAACAGUUCAUGAGACCCUGAGACAGAACCAGCAGCUGAGUGCCCAUCAGAAUCUGUCCUUCAGAAACCAUGAGUACAGGCUGAGAAGCACAAACCGGAAACAGAGCUGUUUCCAAAUUUUGGAAUUCUUCAGAUUUAAAAUAUUUGCAAAGACUACCAGUUGAGCAUUCCUAAUCCAAAAAUCCAAAAUCUGAAAUGCUCCAAAAUGAGAAAUUCAGACUUGAAGCAGGUCAGAUGUUCAAUUAUUAUUUGGGAGGGUGGGGCCACAUGGAUGCCUGGCAUGUGUGUGGAUGUCAGGGGACAACUUUCAGGAGUUGGUUCUCUCUCCCCACCCUUAUGUGAAUCUCAGGGGUCAAAGUCAGGUCUCUAGGCCUGCACAGCACACACCUUUACCCACUGAGCCAUCCUGCCAGCCCCAUUUUAGAUUUUAAUUCCAGAGUAAGGGCACCACCUGGAAACCGCCAUCACUCACUUUAGAUGAGCAUCAUUCAAAUCACCCUGCAAAAUUUACUGUCGUAGUAUUAUUUUUCUAUUGUU